GCCCUUGUAGCUCAGUGGAUAGAGCAACGGUUUCCUAAACCGCAGGUCGCAUGUUCGAUUCAUGCCAAGGGCG
Molecule: transfer RNA, 73 nt
Filed under: Actinomycetes bacterium
Lineage: Bacteria; Bacillati; Actinomycetota; Actinomycetes
Also listed under: 1 other name
Description: tRNA-Arg
Rfam family: tRNA
About the family: Transfer RNA (tRNA) molecules are approximately 80 nucleotides in length. Their secondary structure includes four short double-helical elements and three loops (D, anti-codon, and T loops). Further hydrogen bonds mediate the characteristic L-shaped molecular structure. tRNAs have two regions of fundamental functional importance: the anti-codon, which is responsible for specific mRNA codon recognition, and the 3' end, to which the tRNAs corresponding amino acid is attached (by aminoacyl-tRNA synthetases). tRNAs cope with the degeneracy of the genetic code in two manners: having more than one tRNA (with a specific anti-codon) for a particular amino acid; and 'wobble' base-pairing, i.e. permitting non-standard base-pairing at the 3rd anti-codon position.
Source: RNAcentral